GAUGAACGCUAGCGGCAGGCUUAACACAUGCAAGUCGAGGGGUAUUUAUCUUCGGAUAGAGAGACCGGCGCACGGGUGCGUAACGCGUAUGCAAUCUACCUUUUACAGAGGGAUAGCCCAGAGAAAUUUGGAUUAAUACCUCAUAGUAUAUAGACUCGGCAUCGAGAUUAUAUUAAAGUCACAACGGUAAAAGAUGAGCAUGCGUCCCAUUAGCUAGUUGGUAAGGUAACGGCUUACCAAGGCUACGAUGGGUAGGGGUCCUGAGAGGGAGAUCCCCCACACUGGUACUGAGACACGGACCAGACUCCUACGGGAGGCAGCAGUGAGGAAUAUUGGACAAUGGGCGCAAGCCUGAUCCAGCCAUGCCGCGUGCAGGAUGACGGUCCUAUGGAUUGUAAACUGCUUUUAGACGAGAAGAAACACUGCUACGUGUAGCAGCUUGACGGUAUCGUAAGAAUAAGGAUCGGCUAACUCCGUG
RNAcentral lists this ribosomal RNA (478 nucleotides) under uncultured bacterium. RNAcentral's name for it is "partial 16S ribosomal RNA". It matches the Rfam family "Bacterial small subunit ribosomal RNA", at positions 28 to 507 of the family's 1533-position model. The record is from RNAcentral.